AUGAUAACAAUCUCGGACUGCCCGAUAUGUGUCAUGGAUUGUGAGAGUAUUCGCCAUUCUUUCUUCAGAUGCAACAGAGUGCAAGAGAUCUGGGCAAAGCUGGGCUUGCUCCCCACCAUAAAUGAGCAGUCCGAAACUGAGUUGGAGGGAUCUUCGGUCCUUUGUGACCUGUUGCUAAUGCCAAACGCUGCUGUCCCAUCGCUCCCGGGCGUGCCCAUGAAGGAGCUGGUGGCUGUGGCGGUUUGGUAUAUAUGGUGGGACCGACGGAGAUUCACCCAUGGUGAGCCCAUUCAGGAACUUGGAAGAUUGGCCCAAGCCAUUAUCACUUUGACCAAAAACUUCUUGAGGGCAAGGAAGCAUGGUGCGGGCAGGAUACAGAGACAUGGAUGGACGAGACCUAUAGAGGGAUUUGUUAGCCUCAAUAUCGAGGCCUCUUUUGAUGCUGAUAGUGGCACCGCAUCCACGAGCAACAUCCCGUUUGUCCAGGACGCAGCGACGGCCGAGGCUAGAGGUCUCAAGGAUGGGCUGGUUCUGGCAAACACCACCAGCUGCAACAAGGUGGAGAUCAGGGCGGACUAUAUGGAGGUCAUCCAGAUAAUGCAAGAUGGCGGAAACUCCUUAGGACCAGCUGCAGCCAUCUAUGAGGAGUGUACUUUCUUGUGUCGUAAUUUUAUCGCUGUUAGUUCCAGUCAUUGCCCUAGGGAAGCCAAUAUGGCGGCUGAUCUUUUGGCUACUAAGUCGGAGCCCUCGCGAACUAUCGUGUGGCAGAACGAGGCUCCAGACUUUCUACUCGAUGUAAUCACAAACGAUGUAGCCCUAUUUUCUCAUGAAAUAUAA
RNAcentral lists this ribosomal RNA (837 nucleotides) under Triticum aestivum (bread wheat). RNAcentral's name for it is "partial small subunit ribosomal RNA". Lineage: Eukaryota; Viridiplantae; Streptophyta; Magnoliopsida; Poales; Poaceae. The record is from RNAcentral.